CUGAUUGGUCCAAGUUCCGGACUUCCAACGCCGCGAUGUUGAAGUGGUUGAUGUAGGCCCGUAUGGACUCCCCUUCCCUCUGCUUGAUGUUGAUGAGGGACUCCGAACCCUUUCGGGGGCACCGGCUGCUGACAAAAUGGGCCACAAAUUGAUGGCUCAUUUGAUCGAAGAAAAAGAUGGUACCCGAUUUCAAAGCCGAGUACCAGUUCCUCGCUGCUCCCUUCAAAGU
This 229-nucleotide long non-coding RNA is filed under the name Elaeis guineensis (African oil palm). Its description in RNAcentral is "long non-coding RNA (EGUI_LNC006943)". The record is from RNAcentral. Lineage: Eukaryota; Viridiplantae; Streptophyta; Magnoliopsida; Arecales; Arecaceae.